AAUUCAAUUUUCUGCCACCGAAUACAUUAGCAUGGGAUAAUGGAAUAGGACCCUGUCUAAAACUUCAGUUGGUUAACUUGUAGAGGAUCAGGGUAAUGAUUAAUAGGGAUAGUUGGGGGCAUUAAUAUUUAAUUGUCAGAGGUGAAAUUCUUGGAUUUAUGAAAGAUUAACUUCUGCGAAAGCAUCUGCCAAGGAUGUUUUCAUUAAUCAAGAACGAAAGUUAGGGGAUCGAAGACGAUCAGAUACCGUCGUAGUCUUAACCAUAAACGAUGCCGACCAGCGAUUAGGAGACGUUGAAUACAAAACACCACCAUACAUAAUUCAGUAUAUGGCCAGUCAAAUGGUUGUAUAUUGUUUGUGUAUGGCACCGGUGAAUGACUCCCCUAGCAGCUUGUGAGAA
Molecule: ribosomal RNA, 400 nt
Filed under: Acanthamoeba sp. SGC-2
Lineage: Eukaryota; Discosea; Longamoebia; Acanthamoebidae
Description: SSU rRNA
Rfam family: Eukaryotic small subunit ribosomal RNA
Source: RNAcentral